This is a long non-coding RNA of Crocodylus porosus (Australian saltwater crocodile), 1689 nucleotides long. NCBI's taxonomy places the organism in Eukaryota, Metazoa, Chordata, Crocodylia, Crocodylidae. The record is from Ensembl.
GCCGGCUCGCGGGAGCUGAGGGGAAGCGCGGAGCCCGGCAGCGGGGCCAUGCCGCCGGCGGCUCGCGGCGGGCAUCAAUGAUUCUCCCCAGGCCCCUCCUUGGUGCUGUUCUGCUACUGCUGGCCUCAUCGGCGCUGAGCAAGGGCGGGCGGAGGUGCAGCGUGGUGGAGAUCCUGCAGCAGUACCAAGCUGUGCUCUUCGACGAGAUCCACAGCCUGAAAAACCUGAGCAGCCCGGCUGAGGCCCACCGGAAGCACCGGAGCAGGGCUGGCCCUGCCUGCCGCUCCAACCAGGAGCGGAAAAUCCUGCUGUCCAUCUACAACAUGAGCACAUCCCUCCGGGCUGCAGCGAGCGGCUCCCUGCACGACCCCCGGGAGCUGGCUGCCAUGAAGGUGGCCAGCAACACCGAGUCCAUGAUCAGGCAGCACUGCCGGAAGAUCCACAAGGCGAGGCAGAGGAGCCCACCACGGCCACUGGCUCAGGGGAAACAGCAGCUCCGCAGGACAGGCAGCAGCCGCAAGCGGCAGAAGGAGCUGGCCCGGACGGCGGAAAGCCUGCUCGCUUGCUGGGAGAAGCUGUACUCGCUGCACUCAUGGGGCUGAGCCCAUGGGGAACAACAUGGGGCCUUGCCACUUGUGGCUGGCUCUCUGGGGGAUCCAUGCCAGGCCGCGCUGACCUCUUUGCCGUCCGGCUCCGUGGACCUGCUGGCGCUGGAGGCAGACCGUCUUUCUCCAGGAGAGCUGGACACCUCCAAGCUUGCUGUGCAACAGCUUCGUGGGGCAAAGACUCAAGACCCCGAGUUGCAUCUGCAGGGGCUGGGGCUGGAUCGGCUCCCUCGUGCCCAAUGCUUCCCGGUGGGUCCGUGCUGCAUAAGGCCGCUGCAGAGGGAUGGAGCCGGUGGGGAAGGGGAGAUGACAGCGGCACUCGAUGAAGCCCCCAGCGCAGGACAAUGCCUCUCUUCCCAAGUCACUAGGAGCUGGUACCAUGUAUUAAUGUACAAGGCUCUCUCCUGGUAGCUGGGGAGAGCUCUCUGCCCCUGAAGGACAAGGUGGGGGCAUUGGGCAGUGAUGGUGCUUGGGGAACUGUGCCUCCAGGGAGUCUGUGAUCCCCUCUCUUUGUUCUUGGGCCCCGUGCAUGCCCCUGGCUUCCUCCUGUCCGGGGCAGAGACUUUCCGCAGCAACUGGGAAGAAGUGGGCCACCCUGGGCGCCACUCCCCGGUCUCAGCCCUAGUGGUAACAUGCCAUUGCCCCUUUUUGCAUCCAGAUGGCAGGAGGGAUGGCAGGUGGCUCGAGGGACUUGCCCACUGGAAGGCUGGCUGCAGGGGUCGGAUGCCCUGCUAUGCUUCCUGCUUCCUUGCAGUCCUUGGGGAGAGUAGCCUUGGGAGUUACUGGGCACCUCCAGCUCCUGGAGACCCUGGCAGGUGCAGAGCACCCUCCAGGCCCCGCGCGGGGUUGGAGGCACCUUGCCUGACCCUCGGCAGCUGCACGGCUGCUUGAAUCGCCCACAUUUUCUAUGCACCAUAGCAAAAUUCCUGCUGAAAUCCAGCUGAGGGCAAGGCCGGAGCCUCGGUGGAGCUGCGCCUGGAAAAAGGAGGGAGGGGUGGAGAAGGAGGUGCUCCCAACUGAAGGGCUUCCCUGGGCUCCAGCUUUCCCAGCAUUUGCAAUAGUCUCUCGGAAGCUUGAAAUAAAG